This 469-nucleotide ribosomal RNA is filed under the name uncultured bacterium. Its description in RNAcentral is "bacterial SSU rRNA". It matches the Rfam family "Bacterial small subunit ribosomal RNA", at positions 28 to 507 of the family's 1533-position model. The record is from RNAcentral.
AAUGAACGUUGGCGGCGUGGAUUAGGCAUGCAAGUCGAGCGAGAACCGACCUUCGGUUGGGGACGAGCGGCGAACGGCGUAGUAAUGCGUAGGAACGUACCCUCGGUCGGGGAGUAGCUACGGGAAACUGUAGGUAAUACCCGAUGAUCUCUGCGGAGCAAAGGUGAGAUUCCGCCGGGGGAGCGGCUUACGUGAUAUUAGCUUGUUGGUGGGGUAAUGGCCUACCAAGGCAACGAUGUCUAGGGGGGUGUGAGAGCAUGGCCCCCACGACCGGAACUGAGAUACUGUCCGGACACCUACGGGUGGCUGCAGUCGAGAAUCUUCCGCAAUGGGCGAAAGCCUGACGGAGCGACGCCGCGUGGUGGAUGAAGGCCCUUGGGUUGUAAACACCUGUCAGAGGGGAUGAAGUCGUUGGAGGUACUCCUCCUUCGUUGACAGAGCCUCAAAGGAAGCACGGGCUAAGUACGUG